AAGUUGAUGUAUAUGGACUGACGCCUGCCCGGUGCUGGAACGUUAAGAGGACCGGUUAACCCUUCGGGGUGAAGCUGAGAAUUUAAGCGCCAGUAAACGGCGGUGGUAACUAUAACCAUCCUAAGGUAGCGAAAUUCCUUGUCGGGUAAGUUCCGACCUGCACGAAUGGCGUAACGAUGGCCACACUGUCUCCUCCUGAGACUCAGCGAAGUUGAAAUGUUUGUGAUGAUGCAAUCUCCCCGCGGAAAGACGGAAAGACCCCAUGAACCUUUACUGUAGCUUUACAUUGGACUUUGAACGGAUCUGUGUAGGAUAGGUGGAAG
Molecule: ribosomal RNA, 323 nt
Filed under: Anophryoides haemophila
Lineage: Eukaryota; Ciliophora; Oligohymenophorea; Philasterida; Glauconematidae
Description: partial Bacterial large subunit ribosomal RNA
Rfam family: Bacterial large subunit ribosomal RNA
Source: RNAcentral